GGAGGUAAAAGUCGUAACAAGGUUUCCGUAGGUGAACCUGCGGAAGGAUCAUUAUUGUAUAACCGAGGUGCGAGGGCUGUCGCUGACCCGAAAGGUCGUGCACGCCCGAGUGCCCUCACACACAUCGAUCUCACCCCUAUGUGCACCACCGCGUGGGUCCCCCUUUGGCUUGUUCGGAGGGGGGCUUACGUUUUCACACAAACUUUGUAUGCAGUGUAGAAUGUAUUUUUUGUUUUUGCGAUCACGCAAUCAAUACAACUUUCAACAACGGAUUUCUUGGCUCUC
This 285-nucleotide unclassified non-coding RNA is filed under the name plant metagenome. Its description in RNAcentral is "partial contains small subunit ribosomal RNA and internal transcribed spacer 1". The stretch from base 1 to 54 matches the Rfam family "Eukaryotic small subunit ribosomal RNA", at positions 1778 to 1831 of the family's 1831-position model. The record is from RNAcentral.